UCCUAGCCUGGCUUAGAACCUGACCGAGGACUUACUUGGCAGAUGACCAAAAGAAGAGGUGACCGAGAGGUCCACAAGGAGACAGAGGAAAGACCAGGCUGGUGUGCUGACCCUCAUCUUCCACCUUGUGUUGCGUCUGUUGAAAUAAUGGCUCCAGUCUUCGCAAGGGUGGCAUGGCGAUGCGUAUGGCAUAUGAUUCAGAAUGAUUUAGUUCAUGGAUGGGGUCUCAACUUUGCCCUCAGGAACUGCGUAGAGGUAUAUUUAUCUCUCUAUAACCAACCCAACCGCAGGGGUCAUCUAGAAGAACAAGAAGAAGUACAGAGGGAGGGGAGGCGGAUGGAGGGCGUGCGUGCGUACCUUUGA
RNAcentral lists this ribosomal RNA (363 nucleotides) under Triticum aestivum (bread wheat). Its description in RNAcentral is "partial small subunit ribosomal RNA". Lineage: Eukaryota; Viridiplantae; Streptophyta; Magnoliopsida; Poales; Poaceae. The record is from RNAcentral.